GGCACUUUCUUUCUGACAUACCCCUUCAUGUUCUCCUUUCUGUCCAGUUUACAAGUCAACUCUGUGAACAAAUUUGAAUGUGCUCAAGAUUCUUGUUCUCUUGGGGCACUUAGAUGGCUCAGUCAUUAGUCAUGACUUAUAUG
Long non-coding RNA from Lontra canadensis (Northern American river otter), 143 nucleotides. RefSeq lists it as uncharacterized. NCBI's taxonomy places the organism in Eukaryota, Metazoa, Chordata, Mammalia, Carnivora, Mustelidae. The transcript has 3 exons. The record is from RefSeq and is a predicted model, not a curated record.